UCGACGGGUAGCCGGCCUGAGAGGGUGACCGGCCACACUGGGACUGAGACACGGCCCAGACUCCUACGGGAGGCAGCAGUGGGGAAUAUUGCACAAUGGGCGCAAGCCUGAUGCAGCAACGCCGCGUGAGGGAUGACGGCCUUCGGGUUGUAAACCUCUUUUAGCAGGGAAGAAGCGAAAGUGACGGUACCUGCAGAAAAAGCGCCGGCUAACUACGUGCCAGCAGCCGCGGUAAUACGUAGGGCGCAAGCGUUAUCCGGAAUUAUUGGGCGUAAAGAGCUCGUAGGCGGUCUGUCGCGUCUGCUGUGAAAACCCGAGGCUCAACCUCGGGCCUGCAGUGGGUACGGGCAGACUAGAGUGCGGUAGGGGAGAUUGGAAUUCCUGGUGUAGCGGUGGAAUGCGCAGAUAUCAGGAGGAACACCGAUGGCGAAGGCAGAUCUCUGGGCCGUAACUGACGCUGAGGAGCGAAAGGGUGGGGAGCAAACAGGCUUAGAUACCCUGGUAGUCCACCCCGUAAACGUUGGGAACUAGUUGUGGGGUCCAUUCCACGGAUUCCGUGACGCAGCUAACGCAUUAAGUUCCCCGCCUGGGGAGUACGGCCGCAAGGCUAAAACUCAAAGGAAUUGACGGGGACCCGCACAAGCGGCGGAGCAUGCGGAUUAAUUCGAUGCAACGCGAAGAACCUUACCAAGGCUUGACA
RNAcentral lists this ribosomal RNA (700 nucleotides) under Microbacterium arborescens. Its description in RNAcentral is "bacterial SSU rRNA". It matches the Rfam family "Bacterial small subunit ribosomal RNA", at positions 276 to 986 of the family's 1533-position model. The record is from RNAcentral. Lineage: Bacteria; Bacillati; Actinomycetota; Actinomycetes; Micrococcales; Microbacteriaceae.